AGAGUGAGACUCUGACUCAAUUUUUUAAAAAAGAAUACACAGAUGAUCAGCAUGGUCCCUGCACAAGGAUGACACACAGUUUCAUGGCACAUUCCAUAUUUUU
Molecule: small nuclear RNA, 103 nt
Filed under: Carlito syrichta (Philippine tarsier)
Lineage: Eukaryota; Metazoa; Chordata; Mammalia; Primates; Tarsiidae
Source: RNAcentral